Long non-coding RNA from Anneissia japonica, 996 nucleotides. RefSeq lists it as uncharacterized. Lineage: Eukaryota; Metazoa; Echinodermata; Crinoidea; Comatulida; Comatulidae. The transcript has 3 exons. The record is from RefSeq and is a predicted model, not a curated record.
UACCAAGUUUAACCUUGAUAGCUAUUACCAAUCCUGAGUUAUAAGCUUCCAAAGUUGGAGGAAAUUGCAUUUGCGCAUCUUGAAGAGCCACGCCCCUUUCUUGGGGCGUCAAUAUCUCGGAAACUACAUAUCCAGUAGGGCUAAUCUUUUGUGUAUGUUGAUUUUUCACAUAGUGGAUCAUUUUUAAGAAGUUUCAUAAAAAUCGGAGACGGUCGACCUGGGAUCUCUGGUUGAUUUGACACGGAAUUACCCAUUUUGGUUUAUUGCCGUUUUGACUAGAAAGCCACAUUCUGAUGCUGCAUACAGUAUUAUCCUCCCCAUUAAAAAAUGUAUUGCCCUUUUUAUAAUUUGCAAUGUACCUGUAUUACACUCAUUUUAUGUCUUCUAAUUCAACAGAACAUGGUAGAGUAGUGGAAAGUAAUGAAGUUGAAAAAAAAACAGAUAAUGAUGGACAGAAGUUGAUAUAAUAAGUUAUGAUAAGUGUUGGCACAUCUUACAGAUACGUUUGAAAAUCAUUUAUUCCAUCAACCAUUGUUGGCUAUCAAAGAAGAGAAGCCUGUGCUCACAACUACAGAAGGAUGGAUCAGCCCUGGUAAUACAAAUACAAGGAAUGUUUCAAAAAGCAACAAUAUUGUAAUCAUACAACCAUGGCAAGGAGAAAGCUGUAGAAAGCUCCAACUUUAAUCGGUACAUCACUUAACAAAAGAUAAUUGACAAGUUAAAAAGUAAUUGAUCUGUUUUUGUUUUUUAGUUUUCUGCAAAGUGCACAUAAUUGAUUUAUUAAUAUUUUCUAAAUUCAGGUUUUUUUUAGAUUAAAUAAAACAAUUGCAUUGUAAUCAUCUAUAAUCAUUUAAUUUAAUCCUAAAUGUAUUUAUAAAUUUGCUCACUAUACACAAUGUAAUUAAAGUGUACAGUAGUAAUAAUUGCAUAUUGUUUCUUUAUAUUAUUAAUUCAUUGUCCAAUAUGACUUACACUAUAUAUCUUGUUAUAACUAUA